AGCGAACGCUGGCGGCAGGCUUAACACAUGCAAGUCGAGCGGGCACUUCGGUGUCAGCGGCAGACGGGGGAGUAACACGUGGGAACGUACCCUUCGGUUCGGAAUAACGCUGGGAAACUAGCGCUAAUACCGGAUACGCCCUUAUGGGGAAAGGUUUACUGCCGAAGGAUCGGCCCGCGUCUGAUUAGCUAGUUGUUGGGGUAAUGGCCUACUAAGGCGACGAUCAGUAGCUGGUCUGAGAGGAUGAUCAGCCACACUGGGACUGAGACACGGCCCAGACUCCUACGGGAGGCAGCAGUGGGGAAUAUUGGAAAAUGGGCGCAAGCCUGAUCCAGCCAUGCCGCGUGAGUGAUGAAGGCCUUAGGGUUGUAAAGCUCUUUUGUCCGGGACGAUAAUGACGGUACCGGAAGAAUAAGCCCCGGCUAACUUCGUG
RNAcentral lists this ribosomal RNA (433 nucleotides) under uncultured bacterium. Its description in RNAcentral is "partial 16S ribosomal RNA". It matches the Rfam family "Bacterial small subunit ribosomal RNA", at positions 29 to 507 of the family's 1533-position model. The record is from RNAcentral.